GACGAACGCUGGCGGCGUGCUUAACACAUGCAAGUCGAACGGAAAGGCCCUGCUUUUGUGGGGUGCUCGAGUGGCGAACGGGUGAGUAACACGUGUGUAACCUGCCCUUGACUUUGGGAUAACUUCAGGAAACUGGGGCUAAUACCGGAUAGGAGCUCCUGCUGCAUGGUGGGGGUUGGAAAGUUUCGGCGGUUGGGGAUGGACUCGCGGCUUAUCAGCUUGUUGGUGGGGUAGUGGCUUACCAAGGCUUUGACGGGUAGCCGGCCUGAGAGGGUGACCGGCCACGUUGGGACUGAGAUACGGCCCAGACUCCUACGGGAGGCAGCAGUGGGGAAUAUUGCACAAUGGGCGGAAGCCUGAUGCAGCAACGCCGCGUGCGGGAUGACGGCCUUCGGGUUGUAAACCGCUUUCGCCUGUGACGAAGCGUGAGUGACGGUAAUGGGUAAAGAAGCACCGGCUAACUACGUG
This 468-nucleotide ribosomal RNA is filed under the name uncultured bacterium. RNAcentral describes it as "partial 16S ribosomal RNA". It matches the Rfam family "Bacterial small subunit ribosomal RNA", at positions 28 to 507 of the family's 1533-position model. The record is from RNAcentral.